CUGGGGGUCGAAGCCCGUUUUACUGAAAAUAACCCUGUGACAUGUUGCUGUUAAACGGGCUAAUGUUAUUGAUCGACAAGCUGACAGUAGACUGACAGUAGACAUCUGGGUUGUUCUUAACCCCAGACACCAUCUCUCCUUGUUCCACUCAGGGUAGCAGGGUGGCCUAGUGGCUAGAGUGUAGAGGAGGCAGGUAGCCUAGUGGUUAGAGUGUAGAGGUGGCAGGUAGCCUAGUGGUUAGAGUAUAGAGGUGGCAGGUAGCCUAGUGGUUAGAGUGUAGAGGAGGCAGGUAGUCUAGUGGUUAGAGUGGGGAGGAGGCAGGUAGCCUAGUGGUUAGAGUGUAGAGGAGGCAGGUAGCCUAGUGGUUAGAGUGUAGAGGAGGCAGGUAGCCUAGUGGUUAGAGUGUAGAGGAGGCAGGUAGCCUAGUGGUUAGAGUGUAGAGGAGGCAGGUAGUCUAGUGGUUAGAGUGGGGAGGAGGCAGGUAGCCUAGUGGUUAGAGUGUAGAGGAG
Molecule: long non-coding RNA, 509 nt
Organism: Oncorhynchus tshawytscha (Chinook salmon)
Lineage: Eukaryota; Metazoa; Chordata; Actinopteri; Salmoniformes; Salmonidae
Source: Ensembl